Molecule: small nucleolar RNA, 128 nt
Organism: Jaculus jaculus (lesser Egyptian jerboa)
Lineage: Eukaryota; Metazoa; Chordata; Mammalia; Rodentia; Dipodidae
Gene: SNORA70
Rfam family: Small nucleolar RNA SNORA70
About the family: snoRNA U70 seems to be exclusive to mammals and is a member of the H/ACA class of snoRNA which contain H (ANANNA) and ACA box motifs. H/ACA box snoRNAs are involved in the conversion of uridines to pseudouridines (5-ribosyluracil) a constituent of structural RNAs (transfer, ribosomal, small nuclear, and small nucleolar).
Source: Ensembl
CUGCAGCCAAUUAAGCCAACCACUCUGGGAGCCCAGGAGUGGUGCCACAUCUACCAGCAACAGCCACCCUGGUACUGUGCCAAGCCUGCUGCUUCCACGGGCUACCCUAAGGGACCGUGGACACAGUU